CCAAUAGCGUAUAUUAAAGUUGUUGCAGUUAAAAAGCUCGUAGUUGAAUUUCGGGAUCAAAUUGUCGGUCGUGCCUCGGUACGUACUGGCGUUAUUGGUUCCUCCCUUCUGAAGAACCGCGAUGUCAUUAAUUUGGUGUCGCGGGGAAUCAGGACUGUUACUUUGAAAAAAUUAGAGUGUUUAAAGCAGGCUCGCGCUUGAAUACAUUAGCAUGGAAUAAUGAAAUAGGACGUUUGAUUCUAUUUUGUUGGUUUCUAGGAUCGACGUAAUGAUUAAUAGGGAUAGUUGGGGGCAUUAGUAUUCAAUUGUCAGAGGUGAAAUUCUUGGAUUUAUUGAAGACUAACUACUGCGAAAGCAUUUGCCAAGGAUGUUUUCAUUAAUCAAGAACGAAAGUUAGGGGAUCGAAGACGAUCAGAUACCGUCGUAGUCUUAACCAUAAACUAUGCCGACUAGGGAUCGGAUGAUGUUAAUUUUUAAUGACUCAUUCGGCGCCUUACGGGAACCUACGAGACGGGCGUGCGAGGACGCGA
RNAcentral lists this ribosomal RNA (530 nucleotides) under uncultured Glomeromycotina. Its description in RNAcentral is "SSU rRNA". It matches the Rfam family "Eukaryotic small subunit ribosomal RNA", at positions 591 to 1122 of the family's 1831-position model. The record is from RNAcentral. Lineage: Eukaryota; Fungi; Glomeromycota.